AAUAACCUUCCCAUGGAUGUACUAAAACAAUCCUAAAUGUUUUUGUACAAAGGGGAGGUUAUUGGAACUCCCCAGUAACAUUUGAGCCGUCUGGGUUGUUUUUUCAAUGGCACAGAAGAAGGCCAUGUUAUGCUACUGGCUGCUGAUCAGCAUUUCAAAUUCAGCACAGGAAUACAUCAGCUUGAUUUAAAUAUUGUACACUAUGUCACUACAGAUGACAUUUUACAAAAACGAGUAUUUUUCAAACCUCCAGCGGUUUUGGUCAUACCUCUAAAUGAUUAUAUGUACAGGGCCGGCUGAUUUGUUCUGGAGUCAAUGCAUGAAUCCUCUGAGUGUUCAACAAGAAGCAGUCAGUGCAACAGUGAUUAAAUACAUGCCACAGAAUCAGAUGCUAUGUGUUGACUAUAAUACGCAAGGAGCUUUCCAAAUGUUCAGCCUCAAGUCACUGGAAUUGGAUUUUAGUGGUUUCGCUACAGGCUGUAAUCUUAACUUCGGUUCCUUGAUCGUGGGUUGAGUAUCUUUUAUGAUGACGUCAAAUGUAAACUGUUCUGGGGCAUGCAGUCGCUUAUUAUUCAAAAACUGUCUCAAGUUGGAUUUCAAGUUCUGAAUCAUCCACACCGAUUUUACAUUCAGGCAAUGAAAGCCGGACACACGCAUACCGAGAUCGUUGCACCUCACGCGGCUCAAAUGGCACAGGCUUUGUUGAAUGUUGGACUAGAGAACAAUUCGAGGUCUUUCCUGCAUCAAGGAUGAAGGAGCCAAUUUAAACUUUGUUGAGGAACGAGAAUGGCAGCAAAAAUGGAGCGACAGCUGCACUGUCAACGCUGAACUUACACUCAAAACUCAACGGACGUCAACGAAGGCUGCAGUUCAUUGCCCUAUCCUCGUCGCCAGCUGGAACAAUUCUACUGGAAUAGGAAAUCUGAGAUUGAGAGUCUCAGUUCCUCUGUCAAAGCAGCUGAAGUUCUUUUGAUAGACCAACUGGUCCCUGCGUCCGUCUUGGAGUUGUGGGCAGAAGAAAAAGGCACAACAAACCAACGGACAUUCAAAGUUAUCCACCUCCAUCACUGUAUGCUUUGCUAUCGGCUUAUUUAAGGCCAGACGUGGACGACGUUACGAAACAUCGUCUAGUUCAAUACUUCUUUAUGGAUUUGGCGUGGAUCUAUGGCCUUGAUUCUAGUAGCGAUGAGGCUGAAGGAGUUGACAAUAAAUCUGUUGGGAGAGAGGAGGAAGAAGAAUUGAAAGGAGAUUACGAUGAAGUUGAGGAGGAGGAGGCAACGGAAGAAGAGGAAGACCACUGAGUAGCUCAAGAAGAAAUUGAAGAAGUCCAGGUCUAAUUGGUUCACCGUAUGGUCCUGUAGCUGAGGAAGCUGCUGAUGUAGGGUCGGAAGACCAAGAGGGUUGCGAAAAAGUGGAUGAACGCGAGGCACAAGAAGAGGAGGAAGCUUUCGAAUUGAAACUUACAGAAACACCAAAGGCUAUUUCGACAGCUCGUCCUUCCUGUUUGCGUCGUUUCUCAAUGCCUUCACUGGCCGUUUCUGAAGGUGAUUCAGAAGAAGAAUCUCAUCAACGUGAAGAUGAAGUUAUUGAGCCUGAAAUGUCAUCGACUUCCGAAUCGCAGAAUCUUCAUUUCAAAGAUGUUGACGAAGAACAACCGAGACCAAAUGCCCAACGCAAUAGCGUCUUUAAGAGUGGACUUCACUUAACUGAUAGCGAAGCUUGUGGCAGUGACAGUGUCAUCGAAUCUGAAACGGGGCCGGGAAGAUGCGUCUGAAGAAAGCUCGGAUCAGGCUGGUCCGUCUCAACCAACUGAAGAAGGUGAAGAUGAAGAAGAGAAUCGAGAAUCAAAUGAAUCAACUCAUAAGACGAUUCAAUCAAAGCGAGUGGUUCGAAACAAAAGAAGAAAGAAAACGGAAAAAGCGGAAGAAUCACAGAAACAUAGGGGCAAGCUUUUGUUCACGAAGUGAAACGACCUCAAACUCGACGUGGAAGCUCAGAUACCAAUUCCUUUUGGGAAUAACAUCAGCAGGAAGCCAAUACCAGUCAAAGUGGUGCAGACGGUGGAAUAAUCAACUCAUCACCAAGACCAUUAACACGAAUGGCGAACGAGUAUGGAGUGCAAAAAUCAAGUGGAAUGGUGUCUGCUGGAUUUGCACAAAGGAUCUCUACCGUCAAUCGCCCUAGAUCUCGUGCUGGCACGGCUACAUCAGGAACCAAUGCUAUGAGAGCAGUCACAGCGUACAGUUAUCAAAGAGAGAACGAUGCCUAAGAUGAAGAUAAUGCUCUCAUGGAAGUGCAGCCAUUGCAAUACUAUUCUUAAAUACCAAAUGUUUUUGUAAGCUUUUCUUUUCAAACUGUAGGAUGAUAUAUGAUUCCCCACUCAAUCUACAGUUUCAGGUAUCAUAUCAUUUAACAGAAUGACUCAUCUAUAAUUAACACAGGAACGCAUUCAAGUGGAUCUUUAGCAAACAAAUACCUAGAAACCUGCUUCUAUGUUUUAUCUGGUGGCCGUUUUGUUUUCGUUUCAAUACGAUUGACUUCACGAUGGUAAAUGGAAGAAAAUGGGAUUCCAUAAAUGACACUUUAAAUGUUACUGACAUUAACUGUGUUUGUUUUUGCCUCUAAAACCACGACUGCCUUCGUCACAUACGAAAGAGUUUGGAGGGGAAAGGGUGCCUUACACUGACCAUAGAAACACCCACACGAUAGUAUCAAGCCUAAUUGUAGUGCUACGAAACGUACGGUUGUUGCAAACCAGUCUCGGACGAACCUAAUGAAAACCGAAUCAUUGAGGUUCAAUGAGAAUGAGUCCAACGUUCCAGUGCUCGACUGAACAUUGUGGAGGCGCAGCUCAGAAUACGCGAAGUUGAGCCCGGGAAUCAACGCAAAGCAGUUACGAGGUUAGAUAAUUUAAAGGACGUAAGACGUAGAUAGAUUUAUCUCACUUUUCCCUCUCGUUUUCGGGUGAAAAUGGCCGCUAUGUUAUAAAUCGUCUCAACAACAUUUAUCUUGCUAUGAGCACUCAAGAGGCCCACAUUGACGUCGGAUCAUUCAUAACUGAUAGUAACUGAGGCGACAUUGGCAUUGGCAAAACAUAAUGCUUUGUAAACUUCAACGAUCAACAGCUAUUUCCAAAAAAACCAAUUGAAAUCGUGUUUCAUAAGACACGUAUUAAAUGGUAGCCCUACGUGGUAUUAAAUGGUAGCCCUACGUGGUAGGACCAUCGAAGCUCUUCUCUAAAUCCAAAUUCUUUCCGAAAGUACAAGCAAUCUGUAGUAACCAAACAUUGAAUUUGUGAAAGAAAUCGAAAGAAAAGAGAAGCUGGAGAGGUUUAACGAUGAAAAUGUAAGGGUGCUUAGAAAACCUGUGGACUUUGUUCAAAUCACGUCCCAUCUAAAUGAAGUUAACAGUGUCUGCAACGAUGGUCCCCUAUUUUCAAUAACUACAAAUAGACGGCAUCUAAGAAUCAAGAAUGAAACGACAGUGAAGGAAUGAAAAAUGGAUAAUUUCUGAAUAAGGAAACCUGUCUACUUACACAGUACUAAAGUACUCAAACAGCAGGCAGGUAUUCAAAGUAUCAAAAAUGAUCAUUGUCAUCAAUUCUUCCUUCAGUCCGAUAGAACCUUCUGAAACCAAAUACAUUGGCUGUAACUUGGUGGCAUCAUGAUAACCGAAUGAAAUUGGGGGUGGGAGAGAGGUGACAAUGGCCAUAACGAUUAAAAAACUUUUCCGCUUUAACAGCAUACUUAUUUCUUAAGCAAUUAUACCAUUGUCGUCUCACCUCACCUACUAACGUUCAGUGUAUCAAAAUGCCGAUGUCCCGUAGCCAAUGCACAUCAGUCGCCAAAGUUACAAUCAAACAGAAAUGAAAAAUCUAUGCAAAUGACAAUGACUAUAAUGAGAUUAGGAAACUGCUUCCUUUGACAGCAAACAGGUUUCCUAAGCGUCAAAGAUGUUCAUUGUCGUAUGUCGCCAUUCACUUCCGUGCAGUAGAUCAUAAUGCUAUCAAUUUGCAGCCACCACAUCGAAUCAGAUCAAUUUUGCCCCUUCCUUCAAACGUUACGAAUUUAAACAAAACAAAAGCUCACAGAAUUAUCUAAGUAUCAAGCAUCAAGUUGUUAGAAGAACGACGUUUAAACAUCGUUUUGAGUCCUUUGAAGAAUUUCUUUCCUUUUUUUCCUCCCUGUGGCUCCAGAAACAUUUCCUUAGCGCCAGUCAGUGAUGCCAUCUUCUCCUCAAAAUCGAUAUUUUCUUUUUUGACAAUCACUUGCAGGGCUUUUUCUCUUUGCUUGACAGAUUCGGUUAGUUCCGCGUGCUCUGAUUCGGACGACGCAGAAGCAAGUUUUGUUUUCUGAUUGCUAAGGUCUUCUUCUGCUUCACGUAUAACUUUGCGUGACCUCUUGCUGUCUUUUUUAUAAAUAUUUUCAAGUUUAGAAAUAGUCUUCCUGAGUUUGUCGAUGCUGUUGGAUUUUUUUAGCACAAUGACUUCCGGUUCAGAUUUUUUCUCGGAGGCGACGUAGUCGACACGUUCGGCCUUUUUUGUCUGGCACUCUUUCAUUAUGUUCUUUAUUGUUUCUGACAUUCGCUGUUCGUAUUUUUCGCGAUUUUUUUUAUUCUUGUCUUUUUCUGUCUCGAUCCAUAACACCAAGUAAGUGAUGAGAACGUGCCUCAAGUCUAGGCGAGUUUUAUGUUCGGCAUCCGAGUCCGCAGAUUGUUGCCCGACAGGCGAAGAUGUCGUCUCGGCUAUUCCCGGAACUGGUUCUGUUGUCGGCGUUUGAGGAAGAGCUUCUGUUGUGUCUGUAAUUUUGAUCAAAUGCACAUUUUCUCGAUGUAAAUGGAGGUCGUAGAUGAGUCCACGACCGAGAAAAUUAGGCAUAGUCUUAUCUCCUGCACAGACGUAAAUUGGGUGUAAAAUCUUUUUGUCUUGUAAUUGAACAAUGGCGUAGAAAAAUCCAACGACCUCCUCCCGUUUUACGUGCUCUUUGUACUUCCCUGUACGCUUAGACGUGACCAAACCUGUCUCCCUUAAAGGCCUUAACUUAGGCUCACCUAAUAUUUGCCAUUGGUGUUGACUGAUGAUUGUCUCUAAACAACCUCUGUCGAUCACCAUAUCCACUUGAUGCCGGUUCAUUAUUACUUUCACGGAUGCCGUUUUGUUGGCAUCGCAUUCUCUGGGCGAGCCAUGUUUGACCAACAGCUCGUCCGCUCGUUUGAGGAAUUCUGGUAUCUUUUCCGGUAUCAAACCAGCUAGAGUGGCUUCUGAAGUGCGACGGAGGCCGAGUUUUCUUACUAGCUUCUUCUUUGGCCUAGGUCCAUCUGGUUUCUCUGCUUGGCAAACAGUACUAGAAGAAGUGUGCUGGGGUAAAGGAUGCGUCAUGUUACUUUCCUGUAACAAGUCGCUCCCGUUUUCAGGUGUGAGCUGUUCAGGUUGUUCUUCUCUGCUGGAAAAUCCUGUUGAUCCUGUGACGUAGCCGUAGAAAUCGAAAAGGAACUGGCCAAAAAUAAUGGAUGCCAUUACCAUGAAAAGUUUUAGCAGCCAUAUUUGUUUAAGAAGCUCGAGGAGAAGGGAUUCUAAGAACGUAAAGUUAUUCAUGAAGGUGAGAGCCAUUUUGGAUAU
This is a long non-coding RNA of Daphnia carinata, 5617 nucleotides long. RefSeq lists it as uncharacterized. NCBI's taxonomy places the organism in Eukaryota, Metazoa, Arthropoda, Branchiopoda, Diplostraca, Daphniidae. The record is from RefSeq and is a predicted model, not a curated record. The transcript is spliced from 14 exons.